RNAcentral lists this ribosomal RNA (253 nucleotides) under uncultured bacterium. RNAcentral describes it as "partial 16S ribosomal RNA". It matches the Rfam family "Bacterial small subunit ribosomal RNA", at positions 524 to 776 of the family's 1533-position model. The record is from RNAcentral.
UACGGAGGGUGCAAACGUUGCUCGGAAUCAUUGGGCGUAAAGCGCACGUAGGCGGCUCGUUAAGUCGGGUGUGAAAGCCCUGGGCUCAACCGUGGAAGUGCAUCCGAAACUGCAUGGCUCGAGUCUCGGAGAGGAAGGUGGAAUGCUUGGUGUAGAGGUGAAAUUCGUAGAUAUCAAGCGGAACACCGGUGGCGAAGGCGGCCUUCUGGACAGUGACUGACGCUGAGACGCGAAAGCGUGGGGAGCAAACAGG